GAAGUGGUGCAGCUGGCGAUAAAACUCUCUUCAUCGCGUCUACCAGCUCCUGAAUUGGAUCGGGAUUGCUCAUGCUGUUAACUUUAAAGGUCCGGGCUUCUGUUAGGAAACGGACGGACAAACAGGUAUGGAUGAUGAUAUAGAUGCUGACCGAAUACACACACCAGAUGAGUAGGGGAUGGGACAGAACGAUGGAGCACCCACCAGAUGAGUUACGGAGACGACAACGAGGAAACACACACCUCCAACUGGAACACGGGGCUGACUGGACAAACUGGAGACAAAACAGAGAUUAGGUAA
Molecule: non-coding RNA, 300 nt
Organism: Danio rerio (zebrafish)
Lineage: Eukaryota; Metazoa; Chordata; Actinopteri; Cypriniformes; Danionidae
Source: Ensembl